Cricetulus griseus (Chinese hamster) is the source of this 338-nucleotide non-coding RNA. NCBI's taxonomy places the organism in Eukaryota, Metazoa, Chordata, Mammalia, Rodentia, Cricetidae. The record is from RefSeq and is a predicted model, not a curated record.
UUUUGGAAAUAAUGUAUGAGAAAUACUUAGGCAUCUGUUUCCAUUUUUAGACUGGGCCGGCUUAGAUGAAGAUGAAGAUGCACAUGUCUGGGAGGAUAAUUGGGAUGAUGACAAUGUAGAAGAUGACUUCUCCAAUCAGCUACGUGCUGAGCUAGAGAAGCAUGGCUACAAGAUGGAAACUUCAUAGCAUCCAGAAAUGUUGCAAGACCUUAAACAUGGACUGUGUACUAAAUUCUAGGACAGAAACGAGCAUGGGCUACUUUGAAGAAUAAAUUUAUUUCAUUAUCUGCUCGGAUUUAUUUUUAUUUAUAACAAAAUAAAGAAAUGUUUUGAUCUAA